Molecule: ribosomal RNA, 800 nt
Filed under: uncultured bacterium
Lineage: Bacteria
Description: bacterial SSU rRNA
Rfam family: Bacterial small subunit ribosomal RNA
Source: RNAcentral
AGAGUUUGAUCAUGGCUCAGGAUGAACGCUGGCGGCGUGCUUAACACAUGCAAGUCGAGCGGAGUAUUUAUUGGAAGGGCUUCGGUCUGGAAGAUUUAUACUUAGCGGCGGACGGGUGAGUAACGUGUGGGCAACCUGCCCUAUACAGAGGGAUAACAUUGAGAAAUCGAUGCUAAUACCUCAUAAGCUCACGAGGGGGCAUCCUCUUGUGAGAAAAGAUUUAUCGGUAUAGGAUGGGCCCGCAUCUGAUUAGCUUGUUGGCAGGGUAACGGCCUACCAAGGCGACGAUCAGUAGCCGACCUGAGAGGGUGAUCGGCCACAUUGGAACUGAGACACGGUCCAAACUCCUACGGGAGGCAGCAGUGAGGGAUAUUGCACAAUGGGGGAAACCCUGAUGCAGCAACGCCGCGUGAAGGAAGAAGUAAUUCGUUAUGUAAACUUCUAUCGACAGGGACGAAUAAUGACGGUACCUGAGUAAGAAGCCCCGGCUAAAUACGUGCCAGCAGCCGCGGUAAUACGUAUGGGGCAAGCGUUAUCCGGAUUUACUGGGUGUAAAGGGUGAGUAGGCGGUGAGGCAAGUCAUAUGUGAAAUUUCGGGGCUUAACCCCGAAACUGCAUAAGAAACUGCCUGACUAGAGUGCAGGAGAGGUAAGCGGAAUUCCCAGUGUAGCGGUGAAAUGCGUAGAUAUUGGGAGGAACACCGGUGGCGAAGGCGGCUUACUGGACUGAAACUGACGCUGAGUCACGAAAGCGUGGGGAGCAAACAGGAUUAGAUACCCUGGUAGUCCACGCCGUAAACG